ACAGCUACCUGAAAAGAAGCUGUGGGGAGCUGGGGGUCGGCCUCUUCUCACAGUCCUGGAAAAGGCAGCAGCCUGUGAGCUCCAGCCUGCUGGAUGCAUCCAGAAGCAACCUGAAGGAUCCCGGGGGGCUGAAGCCACCUGAAUGAUCCCCCUGCUGCUGGCUAGAGCAGAUAGAAAGUAGCUGCAAAGAGGCAGGCCUACUUCCACCCGAUUUAUUAUUCAAGUGUAAAAGUUUAAUGCACCUAUUUGAACAAUUAGAGUAUGCUCUCGAGCGUAGUUGUCUUUUUGCUUCUGGAGAGACAAUGGUUCAUGAAUCAGUCAGUGCUAUGGCCGGCACCCCAGCACGGAUUGUUCAUGAGUUGCUUGUUUCUUUGUACACACCCAGGAGGAAGAAAGACUUUUAAUAAUAGGCAUCAUUAAAGAAGAUUUUAAGAAAAUUAGGAACCUCAUACAAAAGUCAUUGGGCUUCUGGGACAGAUUGCUCACAGCUGGAAGCCCAAUAUGU
Oxyura jamaicensis (ruddy duck) is the source of this 505-nucleotide long non-coding RNA. RefSeq lists it as uncharacterized. The record is from RefSeq and is a predicted model, not a curated record. NCBI's taxonomy places the organism in Eukaryota, Metazoa, Chordata, Aves, Anseriformes, Anatidae. The transcript has 2 exons.